AUAAAGAUGGCAGAUUUAGUGCAUUAGAUUUAAGCUCUAAAUAUGAAGAUUAAAUUUUCUUCUCUUUAUA
RNAcentral lists this transfer RNA (70 nucleotides) under Sydaphera spengleriana. RNAcentral describes it as "tRNA-Leu". It matches the Rfam family "tRNA". From Rfam's summary of the family: Transfer RNA (tRNA) molecules are approximately 80 nucleotides in length. Their secondary structure includes four short double-helical elements and three loops (D, anti-codon, and T loops). The record is from RNAcentral. Lineage: Eukaryota; Metazoa; Mollusca; Gastropoda; Neogastropoda; Cancellariidae.